GACGAACGCUGGCGGCGUGGCCUAACACAUGCAAGUCGAACGGAGACUAACGCUGAAUUGAUGGUAGCUUGCUAUUGGAUUUUCUUGUUAGUCUUAGUGGCGGACGGGUGAGUAACACGUGAGCAACCUGCCUUUCAGAGGGGAAUAACAGUUGGAAACAGCUGCUAAUACCGCAUAAUGCAACGGAAUCGCAUGACUCUGUUGCCAAAGAUUUAUCGCUCUGAGAUGGCCUCGCGUCUGAUUAGCUAGUUGGCGGGGUAACGGCCCACCAAGGCGACGAUCAGUAGCCGGACUGAGAGGUUGGCCGGCCACAUUGGGACUGAGACACGGCCCAG
This 335-nucleotide ribosomal RNA is filed under the name uncultured bacterium. Its description in RNAcentral is "bacterial SSU rRNA". It matches the Rfam family "Bacterial small subunit ribosomal RNA", at positions 28 to 334 of the family's 1533-position model. The record is from RNAcentral.